AGCAGCCGCGGUAAUUCCAGCUCCAAUAGCGUAUAUUAAAGUUGUUGCAGUUAAAAAGACUCGUAGUUGAAUUUCGGGAUCAAUAUGUUGGUCGUGCCUCGGUACGUACUAGCAUAUUGGUUUCUCCUUUCUGAAGAACCAUGAUGUCAUUUAUUUGGUGUCGUGGGGAAUCGGGACUGUUACUUUGAAAAAAUUAGAGUGUUUAAAGCAGGCUCACGCUUGAAUACAUUAGCAUGGAAUAAUGAAAUAGGACGUUUGAUUCUAUUUUGUUGGUUUUAGGAUCGACGUAAUGAUUAAUAGGGAUAGUUGGGGGCAUUAGUAUUCAAUUGUCAGAGGUGAAAUUCUUGGAUUUAUUGAAGACUAACUACUGCGAAAGCAUUUGCCAAGGAUGUUUUCAUUAAUCAAGAACGAAAGUUAGGGGAUCGAAGACGAUCAGAUACCGUCGUAGUCUUAACCGUAAACUAUGCCGACUAGGGAUCGGAUGAUGUAAUUUUUUAAUGAUCA
RNAcentral lists this ribosomal RNA (504 nucleotides) under uncultured Glomeraceae. RNAcentral's name for it is "SSU rRNA". It matches the Rfam family "Eukaryotic small subunit ribosomal RNA", at positions 569 to 1078 of the family's 1831-position model. Lineage: Eukaryota; Fungi; Glomeromycota; Glomeromycetes; Glomerales; Glomeraceae. The record is from RNAcentral.